UACGUAGGGGGCAAGCGUUGUUCGGAAUGACUGGGCGUAAAGGGUGCGUAGGCGGUGUAGCAAGUUAGAAGUGAAAUACCUAGAGCUUAACUCAGGUGCUGCUUCUAAAACUGCUAUACUUGAGUGCAGUAGAGGAAAGUGGAAUUCCUAGUGUAGCGGUGGAAUGCGUAGAUAUCAGGAGGAACAUCAGUGGCGAAGGCGACUUUCUGGACUGUAACUGACGCUGAGGCACGAAAGUGUGGGGAGCAAACAGG
RNAcentral lists this ribosomal RNA (254 nucleotides) under uncultured bacterium. Its description in RNAcentral is "partial 16S ribosomal RNA". It matches the Rfam family "Bacterial small subunit ribosomal RNA", at positions 524 to 776 of the family's 1533-position model. The record is from RNAcentral.